AGCAGCCGCGGUAAUUCCAGCUCCAAUAGCGUAUAUUAAAGUUGUUGCAGUUAAAAAGCUCGUAGUUGAAUUUCGGGGUUAGUAGGUUGGUCAUGCCUCUGGUAUGUACUGGUCUCACUGAUUCCUCCUUCCUGAUGAGCCGUAAUGCCAUUAAUUUGGUGUUGCGGGGAAUUUGGACUGUUACUUUGAAAAAUUAGAGUGUUUAAAGCAAGCUAACGCUUGAAUACAUUAGCAUGGAAUAAUGAAAUAGGACGUUCGAUCCUAUUUUGUUGGUUUCUAGGAUUGACGUAAUGAUUAAUAGGGAUAGUUGGGGGCAUUAGUAUUCAAUUGUCAGAGGUGAAAUUCUUGGAUUUAUUGAAGACUAACUACUGCGAAAGCAUUUGCCAAGGAUGUUUUCAUUAAUCAAGAACGAAAGUUAGGGGAUCGAAGACGAUCAGAUACCGUCGUAGUCUUAACCAUAAACUAUGCCGACUAGGGAUCGGAUGAUGUUAAUUUUUAAUUGACUCAUU
This 509-nucleotide unclassified non-coding RNA is filed under the name uncultured Glomus. RNAcentral's name for it is "SSU rRNA". It matches the Rfam family "Eukaryotic small subunit ribosomal RNA", at positions 569 to 1080 of the family's 1831-position model. Lineage: Eukaryota; Fungi; Glomeromycota; Glomeromycetes; Glomerales; Glomeraceae. The record is from RNAcentral.